UGGGGGAUAUUGCACAAUGGGCGAAAGCCUGAUGCAGCGACGCCGCGUGGGGGAUGAAGGCUUUCGGGUUGUAAACCUCUUUCGCUAUCGAACAAGGCCCGCUUAGGGUGGGUUGAGGGUAGGUGGAGAAGAAGCGCCGGCUAACUACGUGCCAGCAGCCGCGGUAAUACGUAGGGCGCGAGCGUUGUCCGGAAUAUUGGGCGUAAAGGGCUUGUAGGCGGCUUGUUGCGCCUGCUGUGAAAACGCGGGGCUUAACUUCGCGCGUGCAGUGGGUACGGGCAGGCUUGAGUGUGGUAGGGGUGACUGGAAUUCCAGGUGUAGCGGUGGAAUGCGCAGAUAUCUGGAGGAACACCGAUGGCGAAGGCAGGUCACUGGGCCAUUACUGACGCUGAGGAGCGAAAGCAUGGGUAGCGAACAGG
RNAcentral lists this ribosomal RNA (419 nucleotides) under bacterium. Its description in RNAcentral is "partial 16S ribosomal RNA". It matches the Rfam family "Bacterial small subunit ribosomal RNA", at positions 355 to 776 of the family's 1533-position model. The record is from RNAcentral.